Molecule: unclassified non-coding RNA, 470 nt
Filed under: Hevea brasiliensis (rubber tree)
Lineage: Eukaryota; Viridiplantae; Streptophyta; Magnoliopsida; Malpighiales; Euphorbiaceae
Source: RNAcentral
UUCAAACUCAAAAUCAAUAAUUCAUCGUUAGCUGUUUAAAAUUCUCAGAAAAAUGUCAUUCAUCGAAGAAUUUCAAGCCAAUAUCGAAGCUCUUCCGAACCAUUUGCGGAGGAAGUAUGCGUUGCUGCGUGAUUUGGAUAAAAGUCUGCAAGGAGUCCAGACCCAAAAUGAACAACGUUGUGACAAAGAAAUAGAGGAUAUGAUACAGCGUAUUAAGGCUGGUAAUGUGACACCAGACUCUUCACUAAUCAAAUUCUCUGACGAUGCAUUGGAUGAGCAAAAGCAUGCAAUCAGGAUUGCUGAUGAAAAAGUUGCACUAGCUUCUCAGGCAUAUGAUCUGGUAGAUGCUCAUAUUCAGCAGCUUGAUCAGUACUUGAAAAAGUUUGACGAAGAUCUCCGGAGAGAACGGGAUACUGCUGUUGUUACUGGAGCUCCUGCUACCACUGUUGAAAAUAAUGUCAAAUCUGGAA